GGGGGGGCUUAAUGGCAGUCGAACGGGGUUUUGUAUUGGACUUUAUCGGAAGGAAGAGACAAAACUUAGUGGCGGACGGGUGAGUAACGCGUGGGUAACCUGCCUUGUACAGGGGGAUAACAGCUGGAAACGGCUGCUAAUACCGCAUAAGCGCACAGAGGCGCAUGCCUCGGUGUGAAAAACUCCGGUGGUACAAGAUGGACCCGCGUCUGAUUAGGUAGUUGGUGAGGUAACGGCUCACCAAGCCGACGAUCAGUAGCCGGCCUGAGAGGGUGAUCGGCCACAUUGGGACUGAGACACGGCCCAAACUCCUACGGGAGGCAGCAGUGGGGGAUAUUGCACAAUGGGGGAAACCCUGAUGCAGCGACGCCGCGUGAGUGAAGAAGUAUUUCGGUAUGUAAAGCUCUAUCAGCAGGGAAGAAAAUGACGGUACCUGACUAAGAAGCCCCGGCUAACUACGUGCCAGCAGCCGCGGUAAUACGUAGGGGGCAAGCGUUAUCCGGAUUUACUGGGUGUAAAGGGAGCGUAGGUGGCAAGGCAAGUCAGAAGUGAAACCCUCGGGCUCAACCUGAGGCAUGCUUUUGAAACUGUCAAGCUGGAGUGCUGGAGAGGUAAGCGGAAUUCCUAGUGUAGCGGUGAAAUGCGUAGAUAUUAGGAGGAACACCGGUGGCGAAGGCGGCUUACUGGACAGUAACUGACACUGAGGCUCGAAAGCGUGGGGAGCAAACAGGAUUAGAUACCCUGGUAGUC
RNAcentral lists this ribosomal RNA (750 nucleotides) under uncultured bacterium. RNAcentral's name for it is "bacterial SSU rRNA". It matches the Rfam family "Bacterial small subunit ribosomal RNA", at positions 41 to 795 of the family's 1533-position model. The record is from RNAcentral.